GAUGAAGAACGUAGCGAAACGCGAUACGUAAUGUGAAUUGCAGAUUUCAGUGAAUCAUCGAAUCUUUGAACGCACAUUGCGCCCGCCAGUAUUCUGGCGGGCAUGCCUGUUCGAGCGUCAUUUCAACCAUCAAGCGCCUCGCUUGUGUUGGGGCCCUGCGGCUGCCGCAGGCCCCUAAAUCCAGUGGCGGGCUCGUCGUCGUACCGAGUGCAGUAAACAUCCUCGCUCAGGGAACCCGACGGGUGCCGGCCGUGAAACCCCCCCUCCUCAAGGUUGACCUCGGAUCAGGUAGGAAUACCCGCUGAACUUAAGCAUAUCAAUAAGCGGAGGA
RNAcentral lists this unclassified non-coding RNA (331 nucleotides) under soil metagenome. RNAcentral describes it as "partial contains 5.8S ribosomal RNA, internal transcribed spacer 2, and large subunit ribosomal RNA". The stretch from base 1 to 120 matches the Rfam family "5.8S ribosomal RNA", at positions 35 to 154 of the family's 154-position model. The record is from RNAcentral.